RNAcentral lists this ribosomal RNA (497 nucleotides) under uncultured bacterium. RNAcentral describes it as "partial 16S ribosomal RNA". It matches the Rfam family "Bacterial small subunit ribosomal RNA", at positions 28 to 507 of the family's 1533-position model. The record is from RNAcentral.
GACGAACGCUGGCGGCGUGCCUAAUACAUGCAAGUAGAACGCUGAAGCGAGGAGCUUGCUCUUCUUGAAUGAGUUGCGAACGGGUGAGUAACGCGUAGGUAACCUGCCUUGUAGCGGGGGAUAACUAUUGGAAACGAUAGCUAAUACCGCAUAACAAUGGGUGACACAUGUCAUUUAUUUGAAAGGGGCAAUUGCUCCACUACAAGAUGGACCUGCGUUGUAUUAGCUAGUAGGUGAGGUAACGGCUCACCUAGGCGACGAUACAUAGCCGACCUGAGAGGGUGAUCGGCCACACUGGGACUGAGACACGGCCCAGACUCCUACGGGAGGCAGCAGUAGGGAAUCUUCGGCAAUGGGGGCAACCCUGACCGAGCAACGCCGCGUGAGUGAAGAAGGUUUUCGGAUCGUAAAGCUCUGUUGUAAGUCAAGAAUGAGUGUGAGAGUGGAAAGUUCACACUGUGACGGUAGCUUACCAGAAAGGGACGGCUAACUACGUG